GGUGCGGGAAGCUCGGGCACUUCCUUUCUGCGCAGCGCCUCGGAGCGCGGGCUGCAGGGCAGCAUGGCGGGCAGCGGAGGCCCGGGGCUGCGGAUCCCGGCCUGUCCUCGGGCUCUUCCAGGUGCAACAAAACCUGUCUCUUGAAGAUGCUUGAACAAAUGUUUUCCAAAAACUUGUCAUGGAAAGUGAUGUAAACAAGCCAUCAAGAGGACACUUGCCACUAACAAGCACAUUGGUGGCUGCAGGUGAAUGUCCAUCGACAGUAGCUGUAAUGUUUACAAACACUUCAUUGUUCUGGGUGCAGCACACGUUUUGGAAUGUAAAAUGAAGAAUUGGUCAAGAAACUGUGAGCAGAAGCAAGUGAUGAGAAUUAGUAUUUUAUUUGAUGAUAAUAAACAAUAAAUUAUGUAGAAAUAUAGCUGAUUGUUGUGGGCAGUAAUUUCUUUAAAAUGUUCAUCUUUAAAGCAUCGUUCUCAUAAAAAGAUGGCCGUCCCGGGUCCACAUGCGGCGAUAAACUGUUGGAGCUGCUGUUGGUACUGAGUCAGCUGGAGGUCUCUUUGCUCCAAGUGUUCUUCAUCAUACAGUUCAAAUGGGAAGAGUGCAUUGGGAGCGACACAAAAUGCAGUGGCCCCUAAGUGAAGACAACAGUGUAAUGAGACUUACAAACUAAAAAUGGAAGUACAUUUCAACAAAAAUAAUAAAGGUUUAAAAAUUCUGAACUGUC
This is a long non-coding RNA of Onychomys torridus (southern grasshopper mouse), 724 nucleotides long. RefSeq lists it as uncharacterized. NCBI's taxonomy places the organism in Eukaryota, Metazoa, Chordata, Mammalia, Rodentia, Cricetidae. The record is from RefSeq and is a predicted model, not a curated record. The transcript has 5 exons.